UACGGAAGGCAGCAGUGGGGAAUAUUGCACAAUGGGCGCAAGCCUGAUGCAGCCAUGCCGCGUGUAUGAAGAAGGCCUUCGGGUUGUAAAGUACUUUCAGUCGUGAGGAAGGUGUUAAGGUUAAUAACCUUAGCAAUUGACGUUAGCGACAGAAGAAGCACCGGCUAACUCCGUGCCAGCAGCCGCGGUAAUACGGAGGGUGCGAGCGUUAAUCGGAAUUACUGGGCGUAAAGGGCACGCAGGCGGUUAAUUAAGUUGGAUGUGAAAUCCCCGGGCUUAACCUGGGAAUGGCAUUCAAGACUGGUUAGCUAGAGUCUUGUAGAGGGGGUAGAAUUCCAUGUGUAGCGGUGAAAUGCGUAGAGAUGUGGAGGAAUACCGGUGGCGAAGGCGGCCCCUGGACAAAGACUGACGCUCAUGUGCGGAGCGUGGGGAGCGAAAC
This 439-nucleotide ribosomal RNA is filed under the name uncultured bacterium. RNAcentral's name for it is "bacterial SSU rRNA". It matches the Rfam family "Bacterial small subunit ribosomal RNA", at positions 340 to 774 of the family's 1533-position model. The record is from RNAcentral.